This 440-nucleotide ribosomal RNA is filed under the name uncultured bacterium. RNAcentral describes it as "partial 16S ribosomal RNA". It matches the Rfam family "Bacterial small subunit ribosomal RNA", at positions 338 to 795 of the family's 1533-position model. The record is from RNAcentral.
CCUACGGGAGACAGCAGUGGGGAAUAUUGCACAAUGGGGGAAACCCUGAUGCAGCGACGCCGCGUGAGUGAAGAAGUAAUUCGUUAUGUAAAGCUCUAUCAGCAGGGAAGAAAAUGACGGUACCUGAGUAAGAAGCCCCGGCUAACUACGUGCCAGCAGCCGCGGUAAUACGUAGGGGGCAAGCGUUAUCCGGAUUUACUGGGUGUAAAGGGAGCGUAGACGGCAGUGCAAGUCUGGAGUGAAAGGCGGGGGCUCAACCCCCGGACUGCUCUGGAAACUGUACGGCUGGAGUGCAGGAGAGGUAAGUGGAAUUCCUAGUGUAGCGGUGGAAUGCGUAGAUAUUAGGAGGAACACCAGUGGCGAAGGCGGCUUACUGGACUGUAACUGACGUUGAGGCUCGAAAGCGUGGGGAGCAAACAGGAUUAGAUACCCGAGUAGUC